This is a small nuclear RNA of 199 nucleotides. Its record names the gene U2. It matches the Rfam family "U2 spliceosomal RNA". Rfam says of the family: U2 is a small nuclear RNA (snRNA) component of the spliceosome (involved in pre-mRNA splicing). Complementary binding between U2 snRNA (in an area lying towards the 5' end but 3' to hairpin I) and the branchpoint sequence (BPS) of the intron results the bulging out of an unpaired adenosine, on the BPS, which initiates a nucleophilic attack at the intronic 5' splice site, thus starting the first of two transesterification reactions that mediate splicing. The record is from Ensembl.
AUCACUUCUUGGCCUUUUGGCUAAGAUCAAGUGUAGUAUCUGUUCUUAUCAGUUUAAUAUCUGAUACGUCCUCUAUCUGAGCACAAUAAGUAUUAAUGGGCUUCCUUGGUGGCUCAGACGGUAAAGCGUCUGCCUGCAAUGUGGGAGACCUGGGUUUGAUUCCUGGGUCGGGAAGAUCCCCUGGAGAAGGAAAUGGCAA